CUACCUCGCACUUCCAACGAGAUAAGUGAUGAAUUAAACUUACGGCCAAAGGGAACAAUAGAGUUGCGGUGAGACCAUAUAAGUUCCAGCAUCCUUGCCCGGCGUUCAGGCUCCCACUUCAUAGCGUCCUUCAUGCCGCACUUAGCGGACCGCCGCAGCGGCUUUUCUACAAGCGCACCGCCUUCCGCGGCCGCUGUCUAUAUGCUCCUAAAUCAACGCCUUCAAUUCGGCGUGCCGCCGCGGCGGGCUUCCUAAGCGCACUGCCUUCCGCAGCCGCGUGUCAUGCAUUUGUGCCGCACUUAGCGGACCGCCGCAGCGGCUUUUCUAUAAGCGCACCGCCUUCCGCGGCCGCUGUCUAUAUGCUCCUAAAUCAACGCCUUCAAUUCGGCGUGCCGCCGCAGCGGGCUUCCUAAGCGCACUGCCUUCCGCAGCCGCGUGUCAUGCAUUUGUGCCGCACUUAGCGGACCGCCGCAGCGGCUUUUCUAUAAGCGCACCGCCUUCCGCGGCCGCUGUCUAUAUGCUCCUAAAUCAACGCCUUCAAUUCGGCGUGCCGCCGCGGCGGGCUUCCUAAGCGCACUGCCUUCCGCAGCCGCGUGUCAUGCAUUUGUGCCGCACUUAGCGGACCGCCGCAGCGGCUUUUCUAUAAGCGCACCGCCUUCCGCGGCCGCUGUCUAUAUGCUCCUAAAUCAACGCCUUCAAUUCGGCGUGCCGCCGCGGCGGGCUUCCUAAGCGCACUGCCUUCCGCAGCCGCGUGUCAUGCAUUUGUGCCGCACUUAGCGGACCGCCGCAGCGGCUUUUCUAUAAGCGCACCGCCUCCCGCGGCCGCUGUCUAUAUGCUCCUAAAUCAACGCCUUCAAUUCGGCGUGCCGCCGCGGCGGGCUUCCUAAGCGCACUGCCUUCCGCAGCCGCGUGUCAUGCAUUUGUGCCGCACUUAGCGGACCGCCGCAGCGGCUUUUCUAUAAGCGCACCGCCUCCCGCGGCCGCUGUCUAUAUGCUCCUAAAUCAACGCCUUCAAUUCGGCGUGCCGCCGCGGCGGGCUUCCUAAGCGCACUGCCUUCCGCAGCCGCGUGUCAUGCAUUUGUGCCGCACUUAGCGGACCGCCGCAGCGGCUUUUCUACAAGCGCACCGCCUCCCGCGGCCGAAGGCUACAUGCUCCUAAAUCAACGCCUUGACUUCAACUGCCGCCUGCUUGCGGGUUUCUUAAGCGCCAUCCUGUAUGCCUGUCUUGCUCAUUGUUCUGUGCCGCACUUCGCACGUAGGGUAGCUGUUAUGUUGGUAAGUAUCCUGCACCGGGCUAUCUGGCGACUCGCGAGGAUACCAGGGUAAAUCAGGCGAACUCAAGACAAAGGGCGCCGAUCAAGCCCCUCGCAACCUCUUGCCAACCAAGAGCUACUCCCGGCAAAACGGACUCCCAGCUAAAGCCUCGCCAACUGCGGGAGGCCGAGAUAAAACCACCUUUCCUACUGACCUACGGACCUCGCGAACCCAACUAGAAUUCCCCCGCCCACCGACAAGCAACAGAACCCACUAUUCAGGUGCCUCUACUCAAGGCCGAACCAACCCAACCACCCGCGCAGUGCCCGCGCGCUUCACUUACUUGCAUGGAUGCCGUUGGCCCGCAAUGUCGAUCUGCGCGUCGCCGUUGUUGUUGUCUUCUCAUAUAUAAGAGACGGCGUCCUAUUGUAGGCAAAACCAAAGAUAAAGGCAAUCUAACAUCACUCGUCAAGCGAUUUCGACCUCGACUUUUUCUAGUCUUUCUCGUCGUCUAUUUUCUGUAAUCCGUCUUAAUAAAGCUUAGUUGGUACCUGUUGUCUGACUCUGCAUUCUGUGCUGGAAUGGCCAAAACUCGGACUGUCUCGUCCUGGUGUGAUAUCCGUGGUUGGCAUAGGGCCCUCCGUACUUCUGUAUUUGGCAUUAAUCUGCCCGAAAACUUGUGUACGCGUAUACAAUACGAUUGUUUGCAGGCGUUUUUUCUCUGUUACUUCUUUUGCUGCAUAGCUGAUUUGCCUUUUGGAACUCCGCGAUAACCUAACAGUGAGGAGUGAGGAGACCGCUCUUGUAUUAGGAUAUCAUAUUUUGUGAUGUCGCCGACACACAUGAUGUCUGAACGCUUUCCCUGCCUUCCCGGCUGCCCCUCUUCUAAUCCGCAUACUUGGGAUUCUUCCUGUUUUCAAUGGAUCCCAUUUAAAUCAUAAAUACGCCAUAUUAUCUAUUAUCGGUUUUUUUAACUUUUUGAGCUGUUGUCAUUUGAGUGCGGGCAUGUAGGGGCAGAGCCCUAGUAUCACCCCGCCCACCCCUUUAAACGCGUAACAUAGCUGAAUCCGGCCCGACUGCCGGCGUGAGCUCCUGAACGUCAUUAUGACCGUUAUUAGUUGUCAACUACUGUAACCACCACAAUUCCGGCCGGACCUGCGACCCAUAUAUGCAACAAGGUACUACAUGCACACAACAACCUCAGCAGCAACAAUCACGACUCUCUUACUUCACUUCAUCCGUUCACCCUAGGAAAAUACACCGGAACCGCGGCGGCGCCGUCAUUGCGUUUAUGAGACAGGUCAAAAAACGCACGAGCCGCUAAACCAUGGCAAUGGCUCAGUAGGACGAGUUAUUCUCCUCUGCUUACCUACCUUCCGGAGAAAGUCGGAGGUGUGGCACANNN
Molecule: long non-coding RNA, 2659 nt
Filed under: Volvox carteri
Lineage: Eukaryota; Viridiplantae; Chlorophyta; Chlorophyceae; Chlamydomonadales; Volvocaceae
Description: long non-coding RNA (VCAR_LNC001300)
Source: RNAcentral